GGUAAGAUGGCUGAGAGAUAGGCGGCGGAUUGUAAUUCUGCUUAGGGAGGUUUAAAAUUCCUCUUCUUUCCA
RNAcentral lists this transfer RNA (72 nucleotides) under Uromastyx macfadyeni. It matches the Rfam family "tRNA". From Rfam's summary of the family: Transfer RNA (tRNA) molecules are approximately 80 nucleotides in length. Their secondary structure includes four short double-helical elements and three loops (D, anti-codon, and T loops). Further hydrogen bonds mediate the characteristic L-shaped molecular structure. tRNAs have two regions of fundamental functional importance: the anti-codon, which is responsible for specific mRNA codon recognition, and the 3' end, to which the tRNAs corresponding amino acid is attached (by aminoacyl-tRNA synthetases). tRNAs cope with the degeneracy of the genetic code in two manners: having more than one tRNA (with a specific anti-codon) for a particular amino acid; and 'wobble' base-pairing, i.e. permitting non-standard base-pairing at the 3rd anti-codon position. Lineage: Eukaryota; Metazoa; Chordata; Lepidosauria; Squamata; Agamidae. The record is from RNAcentral.